GUCUUCGCUGACUCCACGUGUCCACGUCACCUCUAGGCUGCUCUCGCUCGGAGUCAGGUAGCUUUCCGAAACUUCUCAGCCUGGAGAGCUAUUUCCUCACAUUCGGGGAAGAGGGACCACAACUCACUUCUCGUUAUUGAACGGGACUUCUGAGCCCUGGGUCAGAAGAGAAGGUCCUUGGAGUGAGGCCCCGGACUGGGAGGAGACCCGGGGCACCGGGAAUGCUGUAACGCCAUAGAACUCGUUCUGCAAGGCGCUCACACAGGGACGUAUGGAAAACUAGCCAUUGUGACAUUAAUCUUCAGAUGCUCCUCCAGCCAGUCCGGAUGGAUUCUCAUCUUCUGCACGGACUCCCUCAGGGCCCAGCGCUGCCUGACUGCCUACUAUAUUUCUACUUAACUUAGUUGUCUAGAAUACCAAGACAGAAUUUCAAGACCGCAGUAUUCACUGCCUUUGGCAGCCAGAGCAGUCACACCAUAACAGUAACCAGAAGCGUAACAUCUAGGGGCUGUGUUGGCAGCCCAGCUCCCAGCGUGGCGUGGAGGACCAGCAGAGUUGGCUUCCCUGGUAACUUGUUGGAAGCGCAGUCUCGGGCUCCACCCCCAGGCCUGUUGGGUCAGGUGAUACAUGGACAUUAAAGGUUUAAAAGCACUGGGCUGGCUGGGGUGUGACUCACUGGUACAGUGCUGACUCAGCAUGGGUGAGGCCCUGCAUUCCGUCCCCAGCACCAGGGGAGGAAAGUUAUAAAUCUGUAGCUACUUUAGAGGCUUUUGGUGGGUUGUCCCUCCUGACUUUCUGAGGCCGACCUUGCACGGUAUGUGGAAGCUCCCUAUUAUUCUUUAACUCUCUCCUUGAUGAAAAUGAUGUGGCUUUAAUUCUGCUGUAACAGAAGUCUAUGUAACAACUAUUUGUUCAAUUCCUGUCCCAGAUAUUCCUGUGUUCUAGGCUCUUGGAACACAUCCGAUAGAAAUCCAUGCCUGUCCUAACUAGUUCCUCUUAAGAUGACCAAGUAAUAAUUUUCUCCCCGAAUAAUAAAUUAAAGCUUCCAUGGAAA
Chinchilla lanigera (long-tailed chinchilla) is the source of this 1054-nucleotide long non-coding RNA. RefSeq lists it as uncharacterized. The record is from RefSeq and is a predicted model, not a curated record. NCBI's taxonomy places the organism in Eukaryota, Metazoa, Chordata, Mammalia, Rodentia, Chinchillidae. The transcript has 2 exons.